Molecule: ribosomal RNA, 261 nt
Filed under: uncultured bacterium
Lineage: Bacteria
Description: partial 16S ribosomal RNA
Rfam family: Bacterial small subunit ribosomal RNA
Source: RNAcentral
GCAAGUCGAACGGUAUUGUUUUUCUCUUUUAUAGGAGAGCACGAGCGUGGCGAACGGGUGAGUAACACGUCCUUAAUCUGCCUAUCAAACUGGGAUAGCCAGUGGAAACACUGGGUAAUACCGGAUACGUGCUAAGCAAGGAAUUGUUUAGCAGAAAGGGUACGUAAGUGCCGUUGAUAGAGGAGCCUGCGCUUGAUUAGCUAGUUGGUAGGGUAAUGGCCUACCAAGGCAAUGACCAAUAGCCGGCCUGAGAGGGUGAAC